GCCUGGCUUCUUCGCCGACGUGUCCCCAGCGUGUCGCGCCAUGCCGUGCUGCUGCUAUGCCGCCGCUGCAGCGUGCCUCUUUGCGGCGGCCGCUCGCGACUGCCUUAUCGUCGUCGAGGUUGGAAUUGCUUUUUGCUCUUUGCGAUUUGCUGCGUUCCGCGUUGCGCCGGCCUCCAAUAUGCGGCACCUCCUCCGGGAGCCGGCGGCUUUCAGAUGAAGCGACUCACCGACGAUAGUGCCGGCUCCGGUAUCACGACGCAGCAGGCGCGGGCCGUUCAGCUGCCCCAAAACACGUCACUCCUCCAGCCCUCACAUGCCCCUCCCCUCUUGGCUGCCUUCCUUGCAGCGCACCGCUCCUCAGCCUCGUAUGCAGCGGCGCCGUCCAACCUUGCCGCCUCGGUGCCUCUGCUCCGACGGUUUGUCGUCUUUGCCGCCACCCGCCAUGCCCGAGCCACCUCUCCCUUGAUGGUAGAGCUUCCGGGAUCAACGUUCUCGCCUCGCACAUUUUCUGCUUCGUAUGGGCCCCUUGCGCCAGCCAAUAGCUGAUGUAGCAUCGCAGCUCACCAGCGGGGUUAUGCUGCAUUACAGAGGCAAAGCUUACUGCCAGGGAUGGCUCACCGGAGAAGGCGGGGCUACACUACGGCAGUGCAGCUCACGAACGGGGACAACACGUCUCACUGACGAGGCAUGCGAUGCAGCAGCUGUCAACAGUCCUGCACAGGUCCGCAGCUGCAUCCUCUCCAAUUCUAUCACCCGUUGCUUACAAGUGAGUGACUCGUCCUGUCAUCUAUGGGGGAUGCACACCAUGUGUUUGAUGAUUUGCUUAUGAGAUGUGGCCUUAUGCCAUGCCAUGGAGCCACACAAUGUGUUUGAUGGUUUGCCUCUGCAAUACUGGCCAAAUACGGAUGCUCAGGUUUCUGCAAAAAUAAGAAUGAAAUUGACUACAAAUGCGGCUGACAUAGACUCCUACUUGAUGAAGAGAAAUUCAGGCUACAUGCCUUGCCUAAGAAAUGAAGCGGAGGUAGAAGAGUUUGAGUGUGUUCAAGUUCAGAUGCUAUUUGAAUGCUUGAGACCAGCAACAAUCAUCAAACCAUAUAACCAUCUUUCCUUUGCCUUUUGGUGUAUGAUUAGAAAAGCUGGCCACAGAUGAAGAUGUUCUAAUGUGUACUUCUGGGAUGAUUGUUUGUUCCCCCAUAAACAACAGCAAGGGAAAGGAAAAGAAAACAGAGGAACAAAUAGCCUCAAUAUUUAGGCGUGAUUCAAAGCAAGAUACCAUACAAAGAUAUCAUUAGGCAGGAAUAACUUUUGUAGCUGUUCAGAAAUACCAGGUAGCUAUGAGACGCAUCACAAAGCAUAUCUUUUUUUUU
Panicum virgatum (switchgrass) is the source of this 1367-nucleotide long non-coding RNA. RefSeq lists it as uncharacterized. The transcript has 3 exons. NCBI's taxonomy places the organism in Eukaryota, Viridiplantae, Streptophyta, Magnoliopsida, Poales, Poaceae. The record is from RefSeq and is a predicted model, not a curated record.